AAGACUAUAGUCAAUAAUAUGAUAUAUGAGUUGCAUUCAUAAGGAGUUCUACUUGAACUAGUUUUA
RNAcentral lists this transfer RNA (66 nucleotides) under Gandalfus yunohana. Its description in RNAcentral is "tRNA-Ala". The record is from RNAcentral. Lineage: Eukaryota; Metazoa; Arthropoda; Malacostraca; Decapoda; Bythograeidae.